This 482-nucleotide ribosomal RNA is filed under the name uncultured bacterium. RNAcentral describes it as "partial 16S ribosomal RNA". It matches the Rfam family "Bacterial small subunit ribosomal RNA", at positions 30 to 507 of the family's 1533-position model. The record is from RNAcentral.
AUUGAACGCUGGCGGCAUGCUUUACACAUGCAAGUCGAACGGUAACAGGCCGCAAGGUGCUGACGAGUGGCGAACGGGUGAGUAAUGCAUCGGAACGUGCCCAGUCGUGGGGGAUAACUACUCGAAAGAGUAGCUAAUACCGCAUACGAUCUAUGGAUGAAAGCGGGGGACCGUAAGGCCUCGCGCGAUUGGAGCGGCCGAUGUCAGAUUAGGUAGUUGGUGGGGUAAAGGCUCACCAAGCCAGCGAUCUGUAGCUGGUCUGAGAGGACGACCAGCCACACUGGGACUGAGACACGGCCCAGACUCCUACGGGAGGCAGCAGUGGGGAAUUUUGGACAAUGGGCGCAAGCCUGAUCCAGCAAUGCCGCGUGCAGGAAGAAGGCCUUCGGGUUGUAAACUGCUUUUGUACGGAACGAAACGGCUCUGGUUAAUACCCGGGGCUAAUGACGGUACCGUAAGAAUAAGCGCCGGCUAACUACGUG